CCUACGGGGAGCUGCAGUGGGGAAUAUUGCACAAUGGGCGAAACCCUGAUGCAGCGACGCCGCGUGAGUGAAGAAGUAAUUCGUUACGUAAAGCUCUAUCAGCAGGGAAGAGAAUGACGGUACAUGAGUAGGAAGCCCCGGCGAACUACGUGCCAGCAGCCGCGGUAAUACGUAGGGGGGAAGCGUUAUCCGGAUUUACUGGGGGGAAAGGGAGCGUAGACGGGGCGCCAAGUCUGGAGUGAAAGGGCGCAGCUUAACAGCGGAACUGCUUUGGAAACUGGCGCACUCGAGUGCGGGAGGGGCAGGCGGAAGUCCUGGUGUAGCGGUGAAAUGCGUAGAUAUUAGGAGGAACACCGGUGGCGAAGGCGGCUUACUGGACCGUAACUGACGUUGAGGCUCGAAAGCGUGGGGAGCAAACAGGAUUAGAUACCCGGGUAGUC
This 440-nucleotide ribosomal RNA is filed under the name uncultured bacterium. RNAcentral describes it as "partial 16S ribosomal RNA". It matches the Rfam family "Bacterial small subunit ribosomal RNA", at positions 338 to 795 of the family's 1533-position model. The record is from RNAcentral.